This 362-nucleotide unclassified non-coding RNA is filed under the name fungal sp. Its description in RNAcentral is "partial internal transcribed spacer region". The stretch from base 1 to 46 matches the Rfam family "Eukaryotic small subunit ribosomal RNA", at positions 1786 to 1831 of the family's 1831-position model. The record is from RNAcentral. Lineage: Eukaryota; Fungi.
AAGUCGUAACAAGGUUUCCGUAGGUGAACCUGCGGAAGGAUCAUUAACACGUAUCCAAACGUUAAAACCCCCCCCGUGAACCUUCAUCCUGCUCUUGUAACCCGCGUAGUUCGCAAUCUCUGAUAAAUCAUAGCCCGGAAAGUUGUAGUGAUUCAGAGACCUCUGGCUACGUGCGAACAUUGGAACAGUUACAAUCGAGCGGUAGUUCUAUAGGCAAUGUUUCCCCAAGCAGUCAGUGUCAGAAAGUGUCAUUGAUUGUGCAAGGAUAGCGCUUCUACGAUUCCUGUAGACCGUACACUCGGGCAGGAGCUUUGCCAAAGGGCAUUGGGUAAAAAAACCGAACAACUGUUAACAAUGGAUAC